AGAUUCAAAGAGGCUGGAACCUACCUCUCCUGCUGACUGUGAAUGAAGACUGCAGUAUAUUCAGCUACAAGUCCAUCUGCUCUUUAACUUUUUUUUUUUUUUUUUAAUUCUAUCUAAGAGUGUUUUUCCUUUGAAGUUUCCAGCACCAUUUAUGAAGGCUCAAAAGGAGUAUUAUUCAUAUGUUUCAGAUGAGGAAAGCUGAACUGUCAAAGUAACAUCUGACUUGUGAGUAGCCAGUAUUCUCCAAGGCAUCAGCAUUUAAGAGGACCUGAGAAAAGAUCCUGUGCCUACCAGGAAAUUUCACUGAUCUCAUCAAGCCACAAAACUCAGGAAGGAGGAAAAAUCUGCACAAAUUAAGAAGUGCCCAGUAGAUCAUGCUGUCUUGUUGAAAACUCCAGUGGUAACUGGGCUUCUAUGGGAUUAUUUUUAGCAGUAAAAGAGUAGAUGGUGUAAGAUAAGUGAAGAGGGAUUCCAUAAAUAGCUGCAUUUCAAUUGCCUGUUUGACAUAAACUUAAUUGUUACAACAAACGGCACAAAAUGACAAAAAUGAACACCUUUCUACUCAGAAGAUAAACUGUUUUUAAAUAGAAAGGAAUGAAACCUAGGUCUAUCAUUUUUAGAAUCCCAGUGAACUAGAAUGGACAUGACUGGAGAAGCAGAGACACCUGAGCAGCUUUGAAGACAUUUCUCUGGCAUGUUCUCACUGACUCUGAGACCUAUUUCCAACCACAGUGUCUGCUCAUCCUAGUGCAGCACCCUUCAAACCUACCUUCCCCAAAGGAUUCAGCAGACAUGGUUGAGAAAAGAGCGAAGCACAAGCUGGAUCUACAGAGCCUCAGGAGGAAUCCCAGGCAAACAAUGCACUUGGGGGAAGACAUCUCAACAACAGCCAUUUCAGUAUUAUGGAAUCAGCCUUCACUAUAAAGAGACUUAUGCACUGGGAAGAAUUCAAGGAACUCUGUGAGUAUAUAGCAAGAAUGAUAGACAAGGUCUUACCAGACUGAAUAUAUUGCUUGUUCUGCCUGUGUCUAGAUAUAGUGGUUGUUCAAAAGGGAGUAGAUAUCUGGAAAAAGGCUAUGAAUGGGAGUGAUACUCUGUUCCUUUCUGUUUCCCCUGCUCUUCAAGUAACAAUCUCUUAUCUCAGCCUCAUUGCCUGAUAGAUCAGGUAGGGUUGAUCCCCAAACCAAGGGCUUAUCUGGGUAGGUGGGCUUAAGAAGACUGAAACAAUUGCUUUAGAGAGGAAACUUUCUGUGGUCAAGGCAUAUGGCACCUGUGGUCAAUUCUAUUCAGACAAAUAUUUCAUCUAAAAUGGCCUUUCCUGUUAAAGUCUCUGGGUAGUUAUGGCUUUGCUUGGAUGUCCUGCCCUUUUCUUUUGGGGUUGAAAUAAAUAUCUGAGGUUCACAGUCUUUGUAUCCCUA
RNAcentral lists this long non-coding RNA (1418 nucleotides) under Junco hyemalis (dark-eyed junco). Its description in RNAcentral is "lncRNA (ENSJHYG00000016191.1)". Lineage: Eukaryota; Metazoa; Chordata; Aves; Passeriformes; Passerellidae. The record is from RNAcentral.